GAUGAAGAACGUAGCGAAAUGCGAUAAGUAAUGUGAAUUGCAGAAUUCAGUGAAUCAUCGAAUCUUUGAACGCACAUUGCGCCCGCCAGUAUUCUGGCGGGCAUGCCUGUCCGAGCGUCAUUUCAACCAUCAAGCCCCGGGCUUGUGUUGGGGACCUGCGUCCGACGCAGGCCCUGAAAACCAGUGGCGGGCUCGCUGUCCACACCGAGCGUAGUAACUAACCUCGCUAUGGAGUGGCGCGGGCGCCUGCCGUAAAACCCCCAAUUUUUACAAGGUUGACCUCGGAUCAGGUAGGAAUACCCGCUGAACUUAAGCAUAUCAAUAAGCGGAA
This 331-nucleotide unclassified non-coding RNA is filed under the name soil metagenome. RNAcentral describes it as "partial contains 5.8S ribosomal RNA, internal transcribed spacer 2, and large subunit ribosomal RNA". The stretch from base 1 to 120 matches the Rfam family "5.8S ribosomal RNA", at positions 35 to 154 of the family's 154-position model. The record is from RNAcentral.